UUGGAUGUAAUCCAGUGGUGGCCAAACUCGGCCCUCCAGCUGUUUUGGGACUACAAGUCCCAUCACAUAACAGGACCAGUGGUUAGGGAUGAUGGGAAUUGUAGUCCCAAAACAGCUGGAGGGCCAAGUUUGGCCACCACUGAUAGAAUCUCAC
Molecule: non-coding RNA, 154 nt
Organism: Podarcis lilfordi (Lilford's wall lizard)
Lineage: Eukaryota; Metazoa; Chordata; Lepidosauria; Squamata; Lacertidae
Source: the annotation of a GenBank genome assembly